RNAcentral lists this ribosomal RNA (696 nucleotides) under uncultured Phycisphaeraceae bacterium. RNAcentral's name for it is "bacterial SSU rRNA". It matches the Rfam family "Bacterial small subunit ribosomal RNA", at positions 94 to 825 of the family's 1533-position model. The record is from RNAcentral. Lineage: Bacteria; Pseudomonadati; Planctomycetota; Phycisphaerae; Phycisphaerales; Phycisphaeraceae.
ACCGGCGGAAGGGCUAGUAAUGGUAUCGAACGUGCCCCAAGGUGGGGGAUAGCCGCGGGAAACUGCGGGUAAUACCCCAUGUGCUCUCCGGAGGAAAGCUGCGGCGCCUUGGGAGCGGCGAUACUCCUAUCAGGUUGUUGGUGAGGUAAUGGCUCACCAAGCCGAAGACGGGUAGCGGGUGUGAGAGCAUGACCCGCAGCAUCGAGACUGAGACACUGCUCGGACUCCUACGGGAGGCUGCAGUAACGAAUCUUCCGCAAUGCGCGAAAGCGUGACGGAGCAAUGCCGCGUGUGGGAUGAAGCGGUUUUCCGUGUAAACCACUGUCAGGGUCUAGGAAGAACUGACCGGACCCAGAGGAAGGGGCGGCUAACCUCGUGCCAGCAGCCGCGGUAAGACGAGGGCCCCGAGCGUUAAUCGGAAUCACUGGGCUUAAAGGGUGCGUAGGCGGAUCGGCAAGCGUCUUGUGAAAUCCCUCGGCUCAACCGGGGAAUUGCUGGGCGAACUGCUGGUCUUGAGGGAGCUAGAGGCUGUCGGAACGUUCGGUGGAGCGGUGAAAUGCGUAGAGAUCGAACGGAACGUCGAAGGCGAAGGCAGGCAGCUGGGGCUCUCCUGACGCUCAGGCACGAAAGCGUGGGGAUCAAACAGGAUUAGAUACCCUGGUAGUCCACGCCGUAAACGAUGUGCACUUGGCCGAU